GAUGAACGCUGGCGGCGUGCCUAAUACAUGCAAGUCGAACGAACAGACGAGGAGCUUGCUCCUCGGACGUGAGCGGCGCACGUGUGAGUAACACGUGUAUACCCUACCUAUAAGGCUGGUAUAACUUCGGGACACCGGAUCUAAUACCAUAUAACAUGUUGAACCACAUCGUUCAACAGUAAGAUACGGUCUUACUAUUACUAAUAGAUGGAUCCUCGCCUGAUUAGCUAGUUGGUAAGGUAACUGCUUACCAAGGCAACGCUGCGUCGCCGACCUGAGAGGAUGAUCGGCCACACUGGAACUGAGACACGGUCCAGACUCCGACGGGAGGCAGAAGUAGGGAAUUUUCCGAAAUGGGAGAAAGCCUGACGGAGCAACGCCGCGUGAGUGAAGAAGGUUUUCGGAUCGUAAAACUCUGUUAUUAGGGAAGAACAAAUGUGUAAGUAACUAUGCACGUCUUGACGGUACCUAAUCAGAAAGCCACGGCUAACUACGUG
Molecule: ribosomal RNA, 497 nt
Filed under: uncultured bacterium
Lineage: Bacteria
Description: partial 16S ribosomal RNA
Rfam family: Bacterial small subunit ribosomal RNA
Source: RNAcentral